This 45-nucleotide non-coding RNA is filed under the name Trichobilharzia regenti. The record is from RNAcentral. Lineage: Eukaryota; Metazoa; Platyhelminthes; Trematoda; Strigeidida; Schistosomatidae.
AUCUAGAUGACGAGUUGAAAACAGGACGAAAUGCACGUCUUGAAU